This is a small nuclear RNA of Piliocolobus tephrosceles (Ugandan red Colobus), 212 nucleotides long. Its record names the gene U2. It matches the Rfam family "U2 spliceosomal RNA". Rfam says of the family: U2 is a small nuclear RNA (snRNA) component of the spliceosome (involved in pre-mRNA splicing). Complementary binding between U2 snRNA (in an area lying towards the 5' end but 3' to hairpin I) and the branchpoint sequence (BPS) of the intron results the bulging out of an unpaired adenosine, on the BPS, which initiates a nucleophilic attack at the intronic 5' splice site, thus starting the first of two transesterification reactions that mediate splicing. The record is from Ensembl. Lineage: Eukaryota; Metazoa; Chordata; Mammalia; Primates; Cercopithecidae.
AUCGCUUCUCGGCCUUUUGGCUAAAAUCAAGUGUAGUAUCUGUUCUUAUCAGUUUAAUAUCUGAUACGCUCUCUAUCCGAGGACAAUAUAUUAAAUGGAUUUUUGGAGCAGGGAGAUGGAAUAGGAGCUUGCUCCGUCCACUCCACGCAUCGACCUGGUAUUGCAGUACNNNNNNNNNNGGAAUGGGAUCCACCCGGAAUUGAACUUCCCUC